GAGUUUUCUUAUUCCUGGAGCAAGCCUC
Molecule: non-coding RNA, 28 nt
Filed under: Rattus norvegicus (Norway rat)
Lineage: Eukaryota; Metazoa; Chordata; Mammalia; Rodentia; Muridae
Source: RNAcentral